AAUCAACGCUGGCGGCGUGCCUCGGACAUGCAAGUCGAACGAUUAAAGCUCUCUUCGGAGAGUGUAUAGAGUGGCGCACGGGUGAGUAACACGUAAGUAAUCUACCCUCGAGUGGGGAAUAACGUCCGGAAACGGACGCUAAUACCGCAUAAUGCAGCGGCACCGCAAGGUGACAGUUGUUAAAGGAGAAAUUCGCUUGAGGAGGAGCUUGCGGCAGAUUAGCUGUUGGUAAGGUAACGGCUUACCAAGGCUACGAUCUGUAACCGGUCUUAGAGGACGGUCGGUCACACUGACACUGAAUAACGGGUCAGACUCCUACGGGAGGCAGCAGUCGGGAAUUUUGGGCAAUGGGCGAAAGACCUGACCCAGCAACGCCGCGUGAAGGAUGAGGUAUUUCGGUAUGU
This 404-nucleotide ribosomal RNA is filed under the name uncultured bacterium. RNAcentral describes it as "bacterial SSU rRNA". It matches the Rfam family "Bacterial small subunit ribosomal RNA", at positions 32 to 426 of the family's 1533-position model. The record is from RNAcentral.